Molecule: non-coding RNA, 148 nt
Filed under: Gorilla gorilla gorilla (western lowland gorilla)
Lineage: Eukaryota; Metazoa; Chordata; Mammalia; Primates; Hominidae
Source: Rfam by way of RNAcentral
GCUGGGUGUGGUGGUGCGCACCUGUAAUCCCAGCUUCUCGGGAAGCUGAGGCAGGAGAAUCACUUGAGCCUGGGAGGCGGAGGUUGCAGUGGGACAAGAUCGCGCCACUGCACUCCAGCUUGGGUAACAGAGUGAGACUCUGUCUCAA